AUGCACGCUGACAGAAUGCUUAACACAUGCAAGUCUUUGGCGAAGCUGUGCUUGCACAGCCUAGCCAAGGCGGACGGGUGAGUAACGCGUAAGGAACUUGCCCUGCAGUCAGGGAUAACAGACGGAAACGACUGAUAAGACCUGGUAAAGUCAGGCGGACUCAUGUCCAGCCUGAUGAAAAGAGAUGCUGCAGGAGAGCCUUGCGUCCUAUUAGCUUGUUGGUGGGGUAACGGCCCACCAAGGCGAUGAUAGGUAGCCGGCCUGAGAGGGUGGACGGCCACAAGGGGACUGAGAUACGGCCCUUACUCCUACGGGAGGCAGCAGUGGGGAAUAUUGGACAAUGGGGGCAACCCUGAUCCAGCAAUUCUGUGUGCACGAUGAAGGUUUUCGGAUUGUAAAGUGCUUUCAGCAGGGAAGAAAAAAUGACGGUACCUGCAGAAGAAGCGACGGCUAAAUACGUG
RNAcentral lists this ribosomal RNA (461 nucleotides) under uncultured bacterium. RNAcentral's name for it is "partial 16S ribosomal RNA". It matches the Rfam family "Bacterial small subunit ribosomal RNA", at positions 29 to 507 of the family's 1533-position model. The record is from RNAcentral.